UACGAAGGGGGCUAGCGUUGCUCGGAAUCACUGGGCGUAAAGCGCACGUAGGCGGAUUCUUAAGUCGGUGGUGAAAUCCUGGAGCUCAACUCCAGAACUGCCUUCGAUACUGGGAGUCUUGAGUCCGGGAGAGGUGAGCGGAACUGCGAGUGUAGAGGUGAAAUUCGUAGAUAUCAGGAGGAACACCGGUGGCGAAGGCGGGUCUCUGGGCAGUAACUGACGCUGAGGAGCGAAAGCGUGGGGAGCGAACAGG
RNAcentral lists this ribosomal RNA (253 nucleotides) under uncultured bacterium. Its description in RNAcentral is "partial 16S ribosomal RNA". It matches the Rfam family "Bacterial small subunit ribosomal RNA", at positions 524 to 776 of the family's 1533-position model. The record is from RNAcentral.